CCGCGGGAUCCCGCCGAGGCCUCCUCAAAUUUGCCAUCUCCUUAUUAAUUCUUCCGCCCCCUUCUACAUUUGCUUAACGUCACACUCAGACCAUGGAGAGACAUUGGUGGAAAGAGACAAUUCAUCACAUAUCUCCUCCUCCACCCUAAGAUGUGGUAAGCAUGCAGGAGGAGCUGCUCCAGUCACCAGCACUGUAACCCACAGACAGGAGGCCAAGACCCACCACCCACCCACCAGCCUGUGUCAGCUUCCAAUGCUAUGUCUGCUAACACGACAAGAUUUUGGGGAAUGACAGAGGCUGGUAACUAAUGGGAAUGUGUUCCAAGCAACUAAGAGAUUCCACCUUCCCAAUGAAAUGAGGAUUUUUGAGCUAAUAUAGUCUUAACAC
Molecule: long non-coding RNA, 388 nt
Organism: Chinchilla lanigera (long-tailed chinchilla)
Lineage: Eukaryota; Metazoa; Chordata; Mammalia; Rodentia; Chinchillidae
Exons: 4
Source: RefSeq, a predicted model, not a curated record